This 902-nucleotide long non-coding RNA is filed under the name Bos mutus (wild yak). RNAcentral describes it as "lncRNA (ENSBMUG00000019625.1)". The record is from RNAcentral. Lineage: Eukaryota; Metazoa; Chordata; Mammalia; Artiodactyla; Bovidae.
GUGGGGAGGGGGCUAGGCGGAGGCUGGAAGGCUGGCCCCCGCCCUGGGUCGAGGAAGGAGCGGGCUGGAGGCCCGGGCUCGCCUGGAAACUUAGAUUCUUGGUAUGGUUGGAGAUCUGAGGAGUGUCUUGCAACUGACAUGAUUGUAAAAGUUUUUUUUUUUUAAACGUAUGAAAUGAAACCUCUACUUCAAUCCUCCUACUGCGUACAGUCGCCAAUGUCAACAGUGGAACCGAUCUCUUCAUGGGAGGAGGACCGCAAGUUCGUCCUGCGAGCCUGGUGUCUUGUCUUCAUCAUCCUGGCAACCGCGAUGCUGCUCAGCGUGCUGGACGGGCGUAUGGCCUACCUGCACGGCGCCUACACCGGCUACGUGGGCUUCUGGACCAACUGCAAGAAGCAUACAUGUGCCGACCUGCGCCAAGUCACGGUUCUCAUCCACAUGAGCAUGGGCUUCAUGAUCCUGGCCGUGAUCCUGGCUCUAGUUCUCCUCCUGGCCAUGGGCUUCUCCUUCCGGCCAGCACUCCGCCGUCUUAACAAGACUGACCUCGUCUUCAGUACCCUCAGCUCCUUCACUGUCAUGCAGGAUGGGAGAGGAUGUCUCUGGCUCGCUUCUCUUUCUGGAGGUCUCUGGGUCCCUGUCCAGCCUCGUGUCCAUCUCUGGCCCCAUCUCAGUGCAGGGCUCCUGAUUCUCCUCAGCCUGACGCUCUUUAUAGCCAACUGCGAGAUGCUCAAACCGAGGCCACAGGAAUCCUGAGCUACUUAAACUACAUGGGCAUGUGGGGCAAAGGGACGUCCUCCACGGAACGGCGGAUGAGCUACCGCCGGUGGGCCUCGCUGCAGAACACCCGGAAGUCCAUAUCCGAACAGCUGUCGUCGGACGCAGGCUCCAAGCACGCCGAGGAC